Potamilus streckersoni is the source of this 77-nucleotide non-coding RNA. Lineage: Eukaryota; Metazoa; Mollusca; Bivalvia; Unionida; Unionidae. The record is from the annotation of a GenBank genome assembly.
GACCACUCUGGUGGCAUAGGGGUUAGAGCAUCCGCCUCAUAUGCGGGACGUGGCGGGUUCGAACCCCGACUAAGUCA